GAUGUUAACACUUGUGUGUCUACGUGUGUGUGUGUAAAGUGUUAUGUGUGCUGGACACCUGCCUGCUGAGUUGUACACAAGUGUUAGCGCCACACACACACACACACACACGCACGCGCACACACACGACAAACAAGUCAGCCAGCUGUGAUGUUGUGGAAGACUGAAGUUAAUUUUCAUAGUUAUGUUUUUCUGAUAUACAGUGGAGAGACACACACACACACACUGGAUAAUGGCUCAUAUUCCACCUGCUGUGUCUUAUUAUUGGACAAAGUCUCGCAGCAGCAGCAGAAGAUGAUUUUAUUGUGGGGAAACAAGUUUGGAACAUACGCUGUAAGGAGCAAACCACAGGGUGGGCUUAUGGGUGCAUGUCUUGCCCAAGGCUCGUCGGCAGGCAGACGAGCAGAGCCAGGAAUCGGACCCACAACCUUCAAGUAGAAGGACGACUCGCUCUACCACUGAACCACCGUGUGAGGUCAGGUUACGUUGGUGAAGUUAAUCCCAAAGAUGAUCCUGAUUUCUGCGGAAAACUUUGGUAAAUUCUGAUUUGAAUGAAUGAAUGAAUGAAUGAAUGAACGAGAUUGAUUCAACAUGUGAAUCUGUUGUCUCAGAUAAAACAAAUUGACUGAAUGAGCAAAUAAAAAGCACAUUUAUGUAAA
Long non-coding RNA from Solea senegalensis (Senegalese sole), 659 nucleotides. RefSeq lists it as uncharacterized. The record is from RefSeq and is a predicted model, not a curated record. Lineage: Eukaryota; Metazoa; Chordata; Actinopteri; Pleuronectiformes; Soleidae. The transcript is spliced from 3 exons.